UACGUAGGGGGCUAGCGUUGUCCGGAAUCAUUGGGCGUAAAGCGCGUGUAGGCGGUCCGGUAAGUCCGCUGUGAAAGCCCCGGGCUCAACCUGGGAACCGCGCUUGAGACUGGAGAACUAGAGUUCGGGAGAGGAUGGUGGAAUUCCCAGUGUAGAGGUGAAAUUCGUAGAUAUUGGGAAGAACACCGAUGGCGAAGGCAGCCAUCUGGACCGACACUGACGCUGAGGCGCGAAAGCGUGGGGAGCAAACAGG
RNAcentral lists this ribosomal RNA (253 nucleotides) under uncultured bacterium. Its description in RNAcentral is "partial 16S ribosomal RNA". It matches the Rfam family "Bacterial small subunit ribosomal RNA", at positions 524 to 776 of the family's 1533-position model. The record is from RNAcentral.